UUAAGUUCAGCGGGUAGUCCUACCUGAUUUGAGGUCAAAUUGUCAUGUAUUGUCUGAGACGGUUAGAAGCAGUGCUAAGCAGACCAUCCAUGCAUGGCGUAGAUAAUUAUCACACCAAUAGACGGUCCACAAAAGUUCCGCUAAUCCAUUUAAGGAGAGCCGACCUCAUUAAUGAAGCCCGCAACCCCCACAUCCAAGCC
Molecule: unclassified non-coding RNA, 200 nt
Filed under: Laccaria sp.
Lineage: Eukaryota; Fungi; Basidiomycota; Agaricomycetes; Agaricales; Hydnangiaceae
Description: partial internal transcribed spacer 2
Source: RNAcentral